Molecule: non-coding RNA, 97 nt
Filed under: Photobacterium gaetbulicola Gung47
Lineage: Bacteria; Pseudomonadati; Pseudomonadota; Gammaproteobacteria; Vibrionales; Vibrionaceae
Also listed under: 1 other name
Description: Photobacterium sp. Gung47 TPP riboswitch aptamer (THI element)
Rfam family: TPP riboswitch aptamer (THI element)
About the family: Vitamin B(1) in its active form thiamin pyrophosphate (TPP) is an essential coenzyme that is synthesised by coupling of pyrimidine and thiazole moieties in bacteria. The previously detected thiamin-regulatory element, thi box was extended, resulting in a new, highly conserved RNA secondary structure, the THI element, which is widely distributed in eubacteria and also occurs in some archaea.
Source: Rfam by way of RNAcentral
AUCCGUUAGUCGGGGAGCCAAGCGCUGAGACCACGUAGUGGGACCCGUUGAACCUGAUCCAUUUAAUAAUGGCGUAGGGAACUAGCUAGACUGCUCU